GGGACGAGCCCAGCACCGAAUCCCCCGGCAUGCAGCCGGUGGGAAAUGUGGUGUGUGGGACGCCAACUGUCGUCCGCGCUGGAGACCGAAGUCCUCCUGAUCGGGGCCUCUCCCACAGCGGGUGUCAGGCCUUUACCGGUCUCUGGCCGGGCGGCUGCGAGCGUCUCAGGAGUCGGGUUGUUUGGGAAUGCAGCCCAAAGCGGGUGGUAAACUCCAUCUAAG
RNAcentral lists this ribosomal RNA (222 nucleotides) under Viviparidae sp. HT-2019. RNAcentral's name for it is "partial 28S rRNA". It matches the Rfam family "Eukaryotic large subunit ribosomal RNA", at positions 100 to 314 of the family's 3401-position model. Lineage: Eukaryota; Metazoa; Mollusca; Gastropoda; Architaenioglossa; Viviparidae. The record is from RNAcentral. RNAcentral also lists the same sequence under 1 other name.